Molecule: ribosomal RNA, 732 nt
Filed under: uncultured Fusobacteriales bacterium
Lineage: Bacteria; Fusobacteriati; Fusobacteriota; Fusobacteriia; Fusobacteriales
Description: bacterial SSU rRNA
Rfam family: Bacterial small subunit ribosomal RNA
Source: RNAcentral
GAUGAACGCUGACAGAAUGCUUAACACAUGCAAGUCUACUUGAAAUUAUCUUCGGGUAAUGGAAGGUGGCGGACGGGUGAGUAACGCGUAAAGAACUUGCCCCUCAGACUGGGACAACUGUUGGAAACGACAGCUAAUACCGGAUAUUAUGAGACCUUGGCAUCAAGGUUUUAUGAAAGCUAUAUGCGCUGGGGGAGAGCUUUGCGUCCUAUUAGCUAGUUGGUGAGGUAAUGGCUCACCAAGGCGACGAUAGGUAGCCGGCCUGAGAGGGUGAACGGCCACAAGGGGACUGAGACACGGCCCUUACUCCUACGGGAGGCAGCAGUGGGGAAUAUUGGACAAUGGACCAAAAGUCUGAUCCAGCAAUUCUGUGUGUUUGAUGAAGGCCUUCGGGUUGUAAAGAACUUUCAAUGGGGAAGAAGCAAGUGACGGUACCCAUAGAAGAAGCGACGGCUAAAUACGUGCCAGCAGCCGCGGUAAUACGUAUGUCGCAAGCGUUAUCCGGAAUUAUUGGGCAUAAAGGGCAUCUAGGCGGUUUGGUAAGUUCGAUGUGAAAAUGCGGGGCUCAACUCCGUAUUGCGUUGAAAACUGCCAGACUAGAGUUUUGGAGAGGUAGGCGGAACUACAAGUGUAGAGGUGAAAUUCGUAGAGAUUUGUAGGAAUGCCGAUGACGAAGGUAGCUUACUGGACAAAUACUGACGCUGAAGUGCGAAAGCUAGGGGAGCAAACAGG